Pistacia vera is the source of this 1511-nucleotide long non-coding RNA. RefSeq lists it as uncharacterized. The record is from RefSeq and is a predicted model, not a curated record. The transcript is spliced from 6 exons. NCBI's taxonomy places the organism in Eukaryota, Viridiplantae, Streptophyta, Magnoliopsida, Sapindales, Anacardiaceae.
UCCCUGCCUACCCUAGCAAGACAGGAACAAGACCUAACCUUUUUAGCUUUUGUCUUUUGAUUUCGAGAGCCGCUACAAAUGAAACCAAAAUUUGUGAUGUCGGUCGGAUUCGGCUGUUCAGCCAUGAUCCUACCGUCUAGCUGCGAUCGCAUGGUUGGAUUUGGUUGGAGUCGGCUGUUUGGCCGUUUGGACGCGAUCGCAUGACCGGAUUUGCUCCGAUUCAGUCGUUGGACCACGGUUGAAUACUUUUGUCUCCUCUGCAUCCGAUUCCGAUAUUCUUAAUCAGAUUGCUUCAAAAUUAUUUGAAUGACAUUGCAACGACAGUUGAACCAUGGUUUCAAGUAUGUUGACUGGAAAAUGAAGAUGGCUUCUGCCAGAGGAGGUGGCAUGACUGUUUUGGGGAAAGUUGCUGUUCCUAAACCAAUUAACUAAUCCAGCCAAAAAAAAUCAUGGGCUGGACCCGAAUGUGGAAAUUGUCCCCAAGGGUACACUUAGUUGGAGAAGUAUCCUAUUUAUGCCUGUGACUGCUCUUUAAGCAGCGUGAAGCUAUUUCAUGAGUGUCCUGCAUAGGAGGAAUCUGGUUACAUAGACAGACUUGUAACUUGCAUAAACAAAGCUAGUUGAUUUAAGUCAAUUGAUAGUUGUUUUCAUCAUGAGCAUCCGCAGAGUCUCUUCAUAUGGAUCUUCUUCUUCCUCUGGUUGGAAAUAUGAUGUGUUCCUAAGUUUUUGAGUGAAGACACCAGAAAGAAUUUCAGGGGUCAUCUCUAUUUUGCUUUGACUCAUCAAUUUGGAAUUGUUAACCAAAACCCUAAACCCACCAAUUGAUCUGCAUCAUAGAAAAUUGGAACCACAUUUUGUCCCAAUCUGUUCUUACAUUCAAUAAUCUUAACAAGUUCAUCCAAGCACCAAGGAGAAGAAGCAUAGUUUCUUGAGAAAACAACAAUUGAAAUUCUUGAUUUUUCAAUUGCAUCAAGGAGUUCUGGUGAAAUGGGUUUUCCUAUCUCGAGUGCUUUGACUCCUUUACGAGUCAAAGCAGAAUUUCAUUGGCCGUCUCUAUUCUGCUGUGACUUGUAAAGGAAUUAAUGUAUUUUGGGAUGACAAAGAACUUGAGAUAGGAAAACUCAUUUCAUCAGAACUCUUUGAUGCAAUUGAAAAAUCGAGAAUUCCAAUUGUUGUUUUCUUAAGAAACUAUGCUUCUUCUCCUUGGUGCUCGGAUGAACUUUUUAAGAUUAUUGAAUGUAUGAACACAUUGGGCCAGAAAGUGAUUCCAAUUUUCUAUGAUGUGGAUCAAUUGGUGGAAAGAAAACAGAUGGGUAACUUUGAGAAAGCAUUGGCUAAGCAUGAAAGAAACUGUGCUUCUUCUCCUUGAUGCUUGAAUUGAAGUGAUUAAUACCCCUCGAUGAGAUUUGCAGGAUAGGUAUGUAAAUUUCAUUUUUUUUUUCUUCAGUGUUUGUAUAAAAAUAUCUGGUGAUAAUUAUUUGAUUAACAGUUUUAAUUAUUGUGGUUUAUGA